GAAGUGCGAUAAGCAAUGCGAAUUGCAGAACCGUGAGUCAUCAGAUUUUUGAACGCAACUGGCGCUGGCUGGGUCUCCAGCCAGCAUGCUUGUUUCAGUGUCUUGUUUUCUCCUCACCCAAAACUUAAUGCGAGAGAUACCCUUCUCUUGCCAAGCAUGAAAGCACUCUGCGCUCUGCGAGCGGCUUCUGACUAGCUCAGUUGUCGCACUCAAUGCAGCCGUCACAUUUCUUUUAAUGUGAACUCAUUGAGAGCAGAGGCUGUCAGCUCGCGCUGUCAGUGCUUAGUCACUUAAACUUUCUUUGCAUCUGAAAUCAAGCAGGAUCACCCGCUGAACUUAA
RNAcentral lists this unclassified non-coding RNA (340 nucleotides) under uncultured fungus. Its description in RNAcentral is "sequence contains ITS1". The stretch from base 1 to 103 matches the Rfam family "5.8S ribosomal RNA", at positions 50 to 154 of the family's 154-position model. The record is from RNAcentral. Lineage: Eukaryota; Fungi.